This 45-nucleotide non-coding RNA is filed under the name Schistosoma margrebowiei. The record is from RNAcentral. Lineage: Eukaryota; Metazoa; Platyhelminthes; Trematoda; Strigeidida; Schistosomatidae.
AUCUAGUUGACACGUCCCAAACAGGACGAAACGCAUGUCCUGAAU